GGCUUCAAGAUUGUUGGGCAUCUUCAG
This 27-nucleotide small RNA is filed under the name Bombyx mori (domestic silkworm). Its description in RNAcentral is "ovarian small RNA-17475". Lineage: Eukaryota; Metazoa; Arthropoda; Insecta; Lepidoptera; Bombycidae. The record is from RNAcentral.